CCUACGGGAGGCAGCAGUGAGGAAUAUUGGUCAAUGGCCGGAAGGCUGAACCAGCCAUGCCGCGUGAAGGUCAGUGCCCUAUGGGCGUUAAACUUCUUUUGUGCGGGAGCAAUAAUGGUCACGUGUGGCCAGACGAGAGUACCGUACGAAUAAGCAUCGGCUAACUCCGUGCCAGCAGCCGCGGUAAUACGGGGGAUGCAAGCGUUAUCCGGAUUUAUUGGGUUUAAAGGGUGCGUAGGCUGGGAGGUAAGUCAGCGGUGAAAUGCCCCCGCUCAACGGGGUGAAGUGCAAUUGAUACUGCCUGGCUGGAAUGCGGAUGCCGUGGGAGGAAUGUGUGGUGUAGCGGUGAAAUGCAUAGAUAUCACACAGAACACCGAUUGCGAAGGCAUCUCACGAAUCCGCGAUUGACGCUGAUGCACGAAAGCGUGGGUAUCAAACAGGAUUAGAUACCCGGGUAGUC
Molecule: ribosomal RNA, 460 nt
Filed under: uncultured bacterium
Lineage: Bacteria
Description: partial 16S ribosomal RNA
Rfam family: Bacterial small subunit ribosomal RNA
Source: RNAcentral